RNAcentral lists this ribosomal RNA (219 nucleotides) under Triticum aestivum (bread wheat). RNAcentral's name for it is "partial small subunit ribosomal RNA". The record is from RNAcentral. Lineage: Eukaryota; Viridiplantae; Streptophyta; Magnoliopsida; Poales; Poaceae.
AUGCUCCCAGGUACCUGUAAUUGUGAUCUAUUUGCCAGAACCAAGGGGUCUUUCUGUGGAAACCUUCACGAGCAAUCGUCGUUUUUUGAUGGGUUUUCCGCUUUUCACAGCUGCUCUUUCCACACCCCCGGAUAUCUGGUGCCAAACCGUCGCCCCUUUCCUUAUAUAUUUGAUAAUCGAGUUUGCUAUCUUUGUGGCAUUGAUUGUACAAGUUCGUGA